AUCUACUGUCUUGUUGGCACAGAGUUUCAGAAACUGUGGAGGAGUGUCACUGUGGAUUCAAUGGAUGAGGAGAAAAUUGAAGAAUAUCUGAAGCGACAGGGUAUUUCUUCCAUGCAGGAAUCCGGACCAAAGAAAGUGGCCCCUAUCCAGAGAAGGAAAAAGCCUGCUUCACAGAAAAAGCGACGAUUUAAGACUCAUAACGAACACAUGGCUGGAGUGCUGAAGGACUACUCUGACAUUGCUCCUGGCAAAUAGUGAACAGUUUUGUAGGUGAGCAAAGAGUUACAAAUACAAAGUCAAGAUCUUUCUUGUUGCUACUGGGAUCUGAAGACUGUCUUCCCAUUCUACUUCUUAGGACUGAGGAGAGGAGCAGUUCCGUUUACAGAACAAGUACAAAUUACCAAACUCAAAGCUUAUUCUAACUGAAUAGGCUGAUGAGAAAUGUGAUGUUCCCUGUUAACUUCUCUUACUUCUUGGGGGAGAGGCCUGCAGGUGUCUUUGCUGUUUAUCUCUUCUAAGUGGUUCCUGGUUCCAUUUUCCCUUUUACUCCUUUAGAACAAGUUUGCAGAUAGUCUUGAAUGCAAUAUUUGUUUAUUCCAAAGUAACAUAUUUAUAAUAAAAUCAUUGCAGAAGGAAUUGCAGAAGUUAGUGAA
Molecule: long non-coding RNA, 653 nt
Organism: Myotis lucifugus (little brown bat)
Lineage: Eukaryota; Metazoa; Chordata; Mammalia; Chiroptera; Vespertilionidae
Exons: 2
Source: RefSeq, a predicted model, not a curated record